This 389-nucleotide ribosomal RNA is filed under the name Macaca mulatta (Rhesus monkey). Its description in RNAcentral is "12S ribosomal RNA". It matches the Rfam family "Bacterial small subunit ribosomal RNA", at positions 794 to 1384 of the family's 1533-position model. Lineage: Eukaryota; Metazoa; Chordata; Mammalia; Primates; Cercopithecidae. The record is from RNAcentral.
GCUUGGCCCUAAACCUCAGUAGUUAGAUAACAAAACUACUCGCCAGAAUACUACAAGCUAUAGCUUAAAACUCAAAGGACUAGACGGUGCUUUACACCCCCUAGAGGAGCCUGUUCCGUAAUCGAUAAAACCCGAUCCACCCCACCCUCUCUUGCUCAGCCUAUAUACCGCCAUCUUCAGCAAACCCUAAUGAGGGUCACAAAGUGAGCGCAAAUGCCAUUGCCGCAAACACGUUAGGUCAAGGUGUAGCCUAUGAGACGGUAAAAAAUGGGCUACAUUUUCUACCUCAGAAAAUUCCACGAAAACCCUUAUGAAAUUUAAGGGUCCAAGGAGGAUUUAGCAGUAAAUUAAGAAUAGAGUGCUUAAUUGAACCAGGCCAUAAAGCGCGC